RNAcentral lists this ribosomal RNA (253 nucleotides) under uncultured bacterium. RNAcentral's name for it is "partial 16S ribosomal RNA". It matches the Rfam family "Bacterial small subunit ribosomal RNA", at positions 524 to 776 of the family's 1533-position model. The record is from RNAcentral.
CACGGGGGGAGCAAGCGUUGUUCGGAAUCACUGGGCGUAAAGGGCGUGUAGGCGGUCAGGUAAGUGGGACGUGAAAUCCCUCGGCUCACCCGAGGACCUGCGUCCCAAACUGCUUGACUUGAGUAUGGGAGAGGAUGAGGGAAUUCCUGGUGUAGCGGUGAAAUGCGUAGAUAUCAGGAGGAACACCGGUGGCGAAGGCGGCGUUCUGGACUGUUACUGACACUGAGGAACGAAAGCCAGGGGAGCAAACGGG